UGGGGAAUAUUGGACAAUGGGCGCAAGCCUGAUCCAGCCAUGCCGCGUGAGUGAUGAAGGCCUUAGGGUUGUAAAGCUCUUUCACCGAUGAAGAUAAUGACGGUAGUCGGAGAAGAAGCCCCGGCUAACUUCGUGCCAGCAGCCGCGGUAAUACGAAGGGGGCUAGCGUUGUUCGGAAUUACUGGGCGUAAAGCGCACGUAGGCGGAUAUUUAAGUCAGGGUGAAAUCCCAGAGCUCAACUCUGGAACUGCCUUUGAUACUGGGUAUCUUGAGUAUGGAAGAGGUAAGUGGAAUUGCGAGUGUAGAGGUGAAAUUCGUAGAUAUUCGCAGGAACACCAGUGGCGAAGGCGGCUUACUGGUCCAUUACUGACGCUGAGGUGCGAAAGCGUGGGGAGCAAACAGGAUUAGAUACCC
This 414-nucleotide ribosomal RNA is filed under the name uncultured bacterium. Its description in RNAcentral is "bacterial SSU rRNA". It matches the Rfam family "Bacterial small subunit ribosomal RNA", at positions 355 to 787 of the family's 1533-position model. The record is from RNAcentral.